AACGCGGCGGCGUGCUUACACCUGCCAGUCGAACGAGGUCAUCCGAUCUUCGGAUUGGUGAAGACCUAGUGGCGAACGGGUGCGUAACACGUGAGAAACCUGCCCCGGUCUCUGGGAUAACAGUUGGAAACGACUGCUAAUACCGGAUGCCGUCGGACCGUCGCAUGGCGGACCGACGAAAGGGUUACCGGAUCGGGAGGGUCUCGCGGCCUAUCAGCUUGUUGGUGAGGUAACGGCUCACCAAGGCAUCGACGGGUAGCUGGUCUGAGAGGAGGAUCAGCCACACUGGGACUGAGACACGGCCCAGACUCCUACGGGAGGCAGCAGUGGGGAAUAUUGCACAAUGGGCGAAAGCCUGAUGCAGCAACGCCGCGUGCGGGAUGAAGGCCCUAGGGUUGUAAACCGCUUUCAGCAGGGAAGAAAAUGACGGUACCUGUAGAAGAAGGUGCGGCCAACUACGUGCCAGCAGCCGCGGUGACACGUAGGCACCAAGCGUUGUCCGGAUUUAUUGGGCGUAAAGAGCUCGUAGGCGGUUCAGUAAGUCGGGUGUGAAAACUCUGGGCUCAACCCAGAGACGCCACCCGAUACUGCUGUGACUAGAGUGCGGUAGGGGAGCGGGGAAUUCCUAGUGUAGCGGUGAAAUGCGCA
RNAcentral lists this ribosomal RNA (648 nucleotides) under uncultured Actinomycetes bacterium. RNAcentral describes it as "bacterial SSU rRNA". It matches the Rfam family "Bacterial small subunit ribosomal RNA", at positions 32 to 692 of the family's 1533-position model. The record is from RNAcentral. Lineage: Bacteria; Bacillati; Actinomycetota; Actinomycetes.